GUGCUUGCUUCCGCAGCACAUAUACUAAAAUUGGAACGAUACAGAGAAGAUCAGCAUGGCCCCUGUGUAAGGAUGACAUGCAAAUUCAUGAAGCGUUCCAUAUUUUC
Molecule: small nuclear RNA, 107 nt
Filed under: Sapajus apella (tufted capuchin)
Lineage: Eukaryota; Metazoa; Chordata; Mammalia; Primates; Cebidae
Also listed under: 1 other name
Source: RNAcentral